Non-coding RNA from Pelobates cultripes (western spadefoot toad), 489 nucleotides. NCBI's taxonomy places the organism in Eukaryota, Metazoa, Chordata, Amphibia, Anura, Pelobatidae. The record is from the annotation of a GenBank genome assembly.
GUCGGGUCUCCAUUAUGGUAUAUUCUAAAAUGAUUGGAGAGGGAAUGUUUCUCAAAGCCCCUUUUGAUAUUGUAAACAUGUUCUCUAAGUCUGAUCUUGAGUGUUCUCUUGGUUUGUCCCACAUAUUGGAGGCCGCAAGGGCACUCCAACAAAUAGAUGACCUGUUUGGUGUUACAAGUAAUACAAUCUUUGAUGUCAAAUAUUUCUUUUGUAACUGAGGACUGAAGAGUAGUGUAGUUUUUCCCUUUAGAACUCAAUUUACAUAUAUGGCAAUUUCCACAUUUAUAAAACCCUUUUUGGCCGGUUAAAAAAUGAUGGGGUCCUAUUGGUUUAUUACAGCUAUGUACCAGUCUGUUUUGCAAUGUUGGAGCCCCCCUAAAGAUUACUCUCGGUUGUAUAGGUAAAAUUGCAGCUAGAACAGGGUCUUGUCUGAGCAAGUGCCAAUGUUUUUGUACACUUCUUUUUAUACAUUGUGCUUGUGUACUAUAG